AUGGUGAUAUUAUCGCUGCCGCUGCCGCAGCCCCAAAGCUGUUUUUCACUCCUCGGCGAGGCUCAUCGGCACUUGCCAACAAUGAGCUGUGUUUCUUACCCAGCUUUGGCCACAGCUAAUAUAGGAUUUCAGAAGGGAGGAGCAAAACCCUUACAGGCAACCAGAAGUAAAACCUGGAGCAAGCGAGGGGGAAAAAAAAAACAAAAAAAAAAAAACAACACCCAGCACACACACACACACGCACACACACACGCACACGGGGAGGCUCAGGAAGGGGCCAGGCGGGGCUGGACGGCAUCCAAAGGGCCCCGCUCCUCCUCGCCUGGGCCACACGUGUGUGCCUGCGGGUCGCCCUCGCCCCUCUCGGCGCCUCCCCCCGGGAACAAAGCGGGGCUCCGCGGCCCGGAGCGCAGCCCCGGCGCAGGGCGCUGCCCACCGGCCCCGCUCCGCUCACGGCCACCCCCCGGCCGCGGACACGCGUGGGGCCGGGCGCCCCCGCGGGGCUCCCCGCGCCCGGCGCUGCCCCCGCUCCCGGCGGCAUCCCGGCCUCCAGGUGCCCGGCCCCAGCCCCGUGGGACCCCCGCGGACCCCCGUGGGCUCUCCCCGGGGCCGGCCCCUCUCCCGGCGGCGAGAUCCGAGAUCCACCUUUUUCCACAGCCGCGGGCGCCGCAUGCGGGAGGCGAGGGGGUGCGGGCACACGCAGCCCCUCCGGCCCUCCCUGCCUCUGCUCCCGGCUUUGGGCCGCUAAAUUGCGGCCGCCCCAGGUGUGCGGGCUGUGGUUGGCUUUGUGAGGUUUCUUACAGUGAAUUGUUUCCUUGCGUUGGCAGGCAAAAUAGGAUAAUACAGACCGUGGGGAAGGGCUUUGUAAACGUGAUCGUCCUGCCUGGCCGUGGCCCUGCCACCUAUUUGGUGCCCCGCAGUGCUGUGGCGAGACUCUCCCUGUGCUGCCCCAGCAGGGACAUGCGUGUCCCAAAUGCCCCCGCCAUCAGCGCUCCCGCACUGUGUGCCUCUCACCCCAAAGCCACCGGCUCUUCUCGGAAGGGUGCCUGUGCUGAAGUAGCCGAGAAGAUGGGGGGAGGCCUGCUGCAGGGAUGA
Molecule: long non-coding RNA, 1095 nt
Filed under: Anser brachyrhynchus (Pink-footed goose)
Lineage: Eukaryota; Metazoa; Chordata; Aves; Anseriformes; Anatidae
Description: lncRNA (ENSABRG00000011295.1)
Source: RNAcentral